RNAcentral lists this long non-coding RNA (805 nucleotides) under Coturnix japonica (Japanese quail). RNAcentral's name for it is "lncRNA (ENSCJPG00005020177.1)". Lineage: Eukaryota; Metazoa; Chordata; Aves; Galliformes; Phasianidae. The record is from RNAcentral.
ACCCAUGUAUUAAAUGUUCUUUUUGUUGCUCUUUCACAUCCAGAAUGUUUGAAGUAAAAAUAAGAUUGCCUACAAAGCUAUUGUUGGCUAUACAGAGGUGACAUUUGGUACAUUUCCAGAGCACUGGGAUUCCACCUGCUUCUAACUGGUAAGGCCAACAGAACAGCAAGCAAGAGCUGCAUGCCCAACAGUGACCUUUUGACAACUAUGAAAUGUGUGUUAUUUUUCAGUCCCAGCAACAUUAAGCCUGUAGACUUAAGGUUGUAUUCCAAUGAUCUUUAUUGUCAUGAAGUUUCCAUUUCGAGUGAUGUUUGUCAAGUCAGCUCUGAGCAGGAUUUCCUACAAGAAAGGUUUUACAGUCUCAUUCUCCAGUUGCUCUCAAUCUCUAUUCCAGAAGUAACUGCUUUUCAAGAACAUCACUUUUAAUGCAUUUUCUAUUCUGGAAAUAACUGCUUUCCAAAAAAUCUGACCUUCUUAUUCAAGCAACACUUGAAAUUGACACUUUGGAUUUGGCCAAAGAUGCUGGGAUAUUUGGGCAUCCAUUGGGCUGAAGAGCAGUAACCAUUGAGUGCUGGACCUGAUGACCUCCAGAGGUCCCUCCCAACCCCUGUGAUUCUGUGAUUGCUGUCGGUACAGCUUCUCAAUUGUAGUCACUGGGUUUGGAGAAGGGUCUCUGAUUGAAAGGUAUGUUUUGCUUGCCAUUUUUGAUAUGGUUUGUGAAGCAGAUGGUUUCAAAUGGCCCGUGGGAGAAAUGUUUCUCCUCAUAGCAAAUAAACUUUGAAAAGUGUAUUAUUUUCUUAGCCUG